UAGAUUGAAGCCAGUUGAGUAAGGCGAUUAGCUGUUAACUAAGAGUUUAUAGGUUUAAGUCCUGUCAAUCUAG
RNAcentral lists this transfer RNA (73 nucleotides) under Geomys pinetis (southeastern pocket gopher). RNAcentral describes it as "tRNA-Asn". It matches the Rfam family "tRNA". Rfam says of the family: Transfer RNA (tRNA) molecules are approximately 80 nucleotides in length. Their secondary structure includes four short double-helical elements and three loops (D, anti-codon, and T loops). Lineage: Eukaryota; Metazoa; Chordata; Mammalia; Rodentia; Geomyidae. The record is from RNAcentral.